RNAcentral lists this ribosomal RNA (443 nucleotides) under uncultured bacterium. RNAcentral describes it as "partial 16S ribosomal RNA". It matches the Rfam family "Bacterial small subunit ribosomal RNA", at positions 338 to 795 of the family's 1533-position model. The record is from RNAcentral.
CCUACGGGAGGCAGCAGUGGGGAAUAUUGGGCAAUGGAGGCAACUCUGACCCAGCAACGCCGCGUGAAUGAUGAAGGUCUUCGGAUUGUAAAGUUCUGUGAUGGGGGAUGAACACAAUGACGGUACCCCAAUAGCAAGCCACGGCUAACUACGUGCCAGCAGCCGCGUUAAUACGUAGGUGGCAAGCGUUAUCCGGAAGGACUGGGCGUAAGGGGUGCGUAGGUGGUUUGGUAAGUUGGCGGUGUAAUUCCGGGGCGCAACCUCGGCGCUACCGCCAAAACUAUUAGACUAGAGUGCAGGAGGGGGAAGUGGAAUUCCUAGUGUAGCGGUGGAAUGCGGAGAUAUUAGGAGGAACAUCAGGGGCGAAGGCGACUUACUGGACUGUAACUGACACUGAGGCACGAAAGCGUGGGGAGCAAACAGGAUUAGAUACCCGAGUAGUC